RNAcentral lists this ribosomal RNA (640 nucleotides) under uncultured Actinomycetes bacterium. RNAcentral describes it as "bacterial SSU rRNA". It matches the Rfam family "Bacterial small subunit ribosomal RNA", at positions 232 to 886 of the family's 1533-position model. Lineage: Bacteria; Bacillati; Actinomycetota; Actinomycetes. The record is from RNAcentral.
CGCGGCCUAUCAGCUUGUUGGUGGGGUAACGGCCUACCAAGGCAUCGACGGGUAGCUGGUCUGAGAGGAUGAUCAGCCACACUGGGACUGAGACACGGCCCAGACUCCUACGGGAGGCAGCAGUGGGGAAUCUUGCGCAAUAGGCGAAAGCCUGACGCAGCAACGCCGCGUGCGGGAAGAAGGCCUUCGGGUUGUAAACCGCUUUCAGAAGGAACGAAACUGACGGUACUUUCAGAAGAAGGUGCGGCCGACUACGUGCCAGCAGCCGCGGUGACACGUAGGCACCAAGCGUUGUCCGGAUUUAUUGGGCGUAAAGAGCUCGUAGGCGGUUCGGUAAGUCGGGUGUGAAAACUUUGGGCUCAACCCAAAGCGUGCAUUCGAUACUGCCGUGACUAGAGUUCGGUAGGGGAGUGGGGAAUUCCUAGUGUAGCGGUGAAAUGCGCAGAUAUUAGGAGGAACACCGGUGGCGAAGGCGCCACUCUGGGCCGAAACUGACGCUGAGGAGCGAAAGCGUGGGUAGCAAACAGGAUUAGAUACCCUGGUAGUCCACGCCGUAAACGUUGGGCACUAGGUGUGGGUCUCAACCAACGAGAUCCGCGCCGUCGCAAACGCAUUAAGUGCCCCGCCUGGGGAGUACGGA